Molecule: ribosomal RNA, 466 nt
Filed under: uncultured bacterium
Lineage: Bacteria
Description: partial 16S ribosomal RNA
Rfam family: Bacterial small subunit ribosomal RNA
Source: RNAcentral
GACGAACGCUGGCGGCGUGCUUAACACAUGCAAGUCGAACGGUGAAGCUCCAGCUUGCUGGAGUGGAUCAGUGGCGAACGGGUGAGUAACACGUGAGCAACCUGCCCCUGACUCUGGAAUAAGCGCUGGAAACGGCGUCUAAUACUGGAUACGAGAAGGGCCCGCAUGGGCACUUUCUGGAAAGUUUUUCGGUUGGGGAUGGGCUCGCGGCCUAUCAGCUUGUUGGUGAGGUAAUGGCUCACCAAGGCAACGACGGGUAGCCGGCCUGAAGGGGCGACCGGCCAAACUGGGACUGGGACGCGGCACAGGCUACUACGGGGGGAGGCGGUGGGGAAUAUUGCACAAUGGGCGAAGGCCUGAUGCAGGGCCGCCGCUUGGGGAAUGCGGGCCUUGGGGUUGAAAACCUCUUCAGCAGGGAAGAAGCGAAAGUGACGGUACCUGCAGAAGAAGCACCGGCUAACUACGU